AUAAAAUUUUAUUCCUUAGUAGAUCCCGUAGGCCCAUACUUGCACCAACUUAUGUCUGGUGCAACAAUGACACCAACGAUGUCUCCUGCUUACAACAACAAAAAUUUCUUUCUCAUCAUGCUGCAUGUCCAUCAAAGGUCGUCUUCUCUCGAGGCAGUCUCUAACUGGAAUGUUGGCACCGGUUGCAUUUCAUUGGGUAAAGCUAUACAUUUGUCAGGUCUCCAGGACUUUGAUUAACAGUGGGAGUAACAGAGCAAUCACUGUCUUAGUAACAACUUCAAAGGGAAGAUGCAUCAAGUUGAGGAAGACAUUGAUACAGGCUUUCUUCAGAGUCCUUAUCAAAAUGUGUCAACAGGCCACGACUUUGGCCUGGGUGUGUCAUUUGCUGUCCUGUUGCUGCAGUGGAGCAGGAAGAGCAAAGCUUCACACUCAGGGGCUGUAGGAUGCUAUCCAGCCUGAGUAAUAAUACAUCGCUUAAACAGAAUUUUAGGAGAGUCACAAAGAUUUUAAAUGACCUAGAAAUUAUUUCAUUCAUAGGAGAAUUAAAUGUUGUUAAAGGACCUCAAGCCCAGUUGAACUAGGUCAGCAUCCUGGAAGUGUUUUAAACACUUUCAGACUGUGGGGUCAUGCAUCAUGCUCUGUGACCUGCUGAAGCUGACACCCAAAUCCUGUGUCCUGAGGAGCGCCCAAGAAACCCACACGCUGCGCAUAUUUCUCAUGGAGGCACAUGCUCACCGCUUGAUGCUUGGUGUUGUAAAUUUUAUGCUUAUUUAUUUUCACUUUGUUGGACUUAUGUACAUCAAAAUAAAUUCAUUAGAACUCUAAGUUUCAUGAGGGCAAGGGUUUUUGUCUGUUUUUUUAACUUCCAUAUUCCCAGCACCUCAAACAAUGCUGGAAAAUAAUAGAUGUCUGAUACUUGUUAAAUGAACAAAUGAGUGAAUUUAUAAAUCUAAAAAUGAGUGAAUAAAUUAAGUUAAUUUACCUGUUGUCUGUAAUUUCAU
This 1001-nucleotide long non-coding RNA is filed under the name Equus caballus (horse). RNAcentral describes it as "lncRNA (ENSECAG00000031169.3)". The record is from RNAcentral. Lineage: Eukaryota; Metazoa; Chordata; Mammalia; Perissodactyla; Equidae.